Molecule: ribosomal RNA, 252 nt
Filed under: uncultured bacterium
Lineage: Bacteria
Description: partial 16S ribosomal RNA
Rfam family: Bacterial small subunit ribosomal RNA
Source: RNAcentral
UACGUAGGGGGCAAGCGUUGUCCGGAAUUAUUGGGCGUAAAGCGCGCGCAGGCGGUUCGGUAAGUCUGAUGGUAAAGCCCGAGGCUCAACCUCGGUAUUCAUUGGAAACUGCCAGACUGGAGUGCAGGAGAGGGAAGCGGAAUUCCACGUGUAGCGGUGAAAUGCGUAGAGAUGUGGAGGAACACCAGUGGCGAAGGCGGCUUCCUGGCCUGUAACUGACGCUGAGGCGCGAAAGCGUGGGGAGCAAACAGG